CGACCGCGGUGCGGACUCGGGUGGUGGUGGUGGUGUGGGGACGAGGAGAGGAGACGGGCUCGAACGGGUUGUCGUAAAGAAAGGAAGAGAAGGGGCCGCGCAGAGGUGUGAGGUCCGACGUUAACGAAACGUCGAGGGUACCUCGAGCGUCACUCUCGGCGCCGCCGAAGGAGGAGGAGGGGCAGGGAGGUAGGGGCGCGCAUGGGACGGCGGAAACAGCGUCGGGUCCGGACGGCGACGGCCGAGCGGCCCACCGGCAGCGGCGGCGCCGCCGGUAGCGGGAGCUGGGCAAAGUCCUCUAGUUUUGGCUCGACUUACUACGGAGUUUUUGGCUCCACAAGCGUACGGGACAAACGAUACUUGGCGACUAUUCUUUUCCCGGCGGUCCGUACUUGGACGGUCGCUAAAUAUCCAGGCCUAAGUUCACAAGUUUUACGUUGUUCAGUAAGUGGUCGUUUCUACAGAAGAACCUAGAGUGACAGUGGAGUCCUUAUUUUCUUAUGUCACUUGAGUUCGGACGAUCUUGACUCGAUAAGUCCUCAGGUGAACAGAGCAAAGAAAUGCUCUCCCCCACCGCAGUCUUGAAGUUAGCCUCACCGAAGGGACCGGCGCUGCUUCUCAAGGUUAGUCAACGACCACCAUAUGAGCAACUACAGUCGACGCCGUCACCGAACAAAAGUUCCUUCAAACGUUCGAGACCCCGGAUGAGUAGACACUAACGAAACCUGAAAAGACUCUUAUACGAGGCGGUUACGAUACUGAUGUAGUUUGUUCUUCUUUGGGGAUACUUGCGCUUGGAGCGUGAACAUUCCCGACUAUAAAGCUCCGAGGGAAAACGAAGUACAAGUUAACUACGGUAAGUACGACCUCGGCGAUAGGUGACAACCGGUAGGGGAAGUUUACGCUAUCGACUUUAGUCGGCACACGACUUCGGGCCGCCACAUAAGCAUCGCUGUUGGAAGAAUAGGUGGGGGUGCUUGUCGCCGGAUAAGAGAUAGCUACGUGAUUUCGGUGACUCUGUCUAACAACCCGGUCACUUGUCGUCGAUGUUGAAGAAGUAACUUCCUCUCGACCUUCUGGACACGUCUAGGACACCGGACCAGUUGAUGUCGUCGUUCCACGUCUCCAGUAAGUAGUACAAGAGGUCCGUUUUCGGUAUCGACUCAUAGUGUAGGUCUGAAAGAAACAUAUCGGUCGGUACCACAUAUAUAUUAUAUCGACACGAAAAAAAAUGCGCACAUAUAUAUAUCGACAAUGCCAAACUAGUCCACCACCUUUACAUUGAGUUUGUGUGUAAUCCGUUAACUUGUUUUUACGUACCAGAGACUGAGACUACUUGUUAUCA
This 1345-nucleotide ribosomal RNA is filed under the name Triticum aestivum (bread wheat). RNAcentral describes it as "partial small subunit ribosomal RNA". Lineage: Eukaryota; Viridiplantae; Streptophyta; Magnoliopsida; Poales; Poaceae. The record is from RNAcentral.